UUGGAAACUAUCAAUAAUAGCAAAAUUUUAACAAAAACUAUGGUAACAGAGCUUAUGAGAAAACAUACUUUUGCACAGAAUCAUAUGAACAUUCAGACAAUUCAUUGAAGUCAAAUUAGCCAAUGUUCACCAUAUUGAACCAAAACUAACUAGAAAUUAAAAUUCAAAGACCAACAAAAUGUUUCAUAUGAAAUAAAUGGCAAAAAAGGUAAAAUUCAAAGUUCUAGUAUCAAAUAAUAACUGACAUAUGCGUACGAACUUCAAUUCCAACUCAAGAUCAAAACAACGAAUUAGGAAGAAAUUGUGAAAUUCUUGUGAAUAUCAAAUUUCCUGAAAUGGGGAAAAAUAGCGGAAUCCAGUGAUUUGGCAGCUCGAUUUCAAAGAUUAUGGCCGGACCUAGAGAUUGCCUGAAAUUGUUCAAAAUGGCAAAACCUAGAGAUUUUGGAAUGAAGACAACUCGAUUUUGGAGAUUAUGGCUGGUUUUUGUGGAGAUGAGGAAUUGCAUGAGAAUGCCACAUUUUUUCGAUAGCUAAUCUGCGGAUUUUUAUGAAUAGAAAUAAAAUGUCACAACAAACACCACCAAUGGUACCGGAAUCUGUAUACCGCUCGUCGCUCCACCUCAUACAACAUCGAGAUCUCUCAGCACCGUUCCAGAUCUUGAAAUCUCACAGACAACUCCAUCUUCGCUAUGUAAACGACGUCGAGCGACGAGAUUAACACAGCCAUUGAAAUCUAUAUACCCCGCACAGAUCGAAAUCUCACGCCACCGUACCUCGUACAACUCUUAGAUUAACGCACCUCGUUGCUCCACCUCACAGAUUAACGCCGCUCGUACGCUACACCUUGCACAGAUUGAAGUCUCGCAUCACCCCACCUCCCACUGCCGCUCCGGUGUGUGGUAAAGAGACGGACGGUAGAGAUGAUAGAUAGAGACAAGAGAGGGAGAGAUCGGAGAUGGGUCUGUGUCUGUGUCUGUGUCUGUGGGUAGGGUUUUUAAUUUUUGGUAAUU
This 1009-nucleotide long non-coding RNA is filed under the name Olea europaea (common olive). RNAcentral describes it as "long non-coding RNA (OEUR_LNC004777)". The record is from RNAcentral. Lineage: Eukaryota; Viridiplantae; Streptophyta; Magnoliopsida; Lamiales; Oleaceae.